RNAcentral lists this small nuclear RNA (140 nucleotides) under Schistosoma curassoni. RNAcentral's name for it is "U4 spliceosomal RNA". It matches the Rfam family "U4 spliceosomal RNA". Rfam says of the family: U4 small nuclear RNA (U4 snRNA) is a component of the major U2-dependent spliceosome. The structure of U4 snRNA from yeast and human has been reported. The record is from Rfam by way of RNAcentral. Lineage: Eukaryota; Metazoa; Platyhelminthes; Trematoda; Strigeidida; Schistosomatidae.
GACUUUGCGCAGUGGUGGUAACGUAGCCAAUGAAGUUUAUUUGAGGAGCGGUUGUUAUUAGUUGAAAACUACUUAUGUCCCAAUCAACUCAUCAAAAUAUCAUUGAUCAACCUGACGAGAUAUUUUUCACUCUAUUAUUA